Molecule: ribosomal RNA, 305 nt
Filed under: uncultured bacterium
Lineage: Bacteria
Description: bacterial SSU rRNA
Rfam family: Bacterial small subunit ribosomal RNA
Source: RNAcentral
UCCUACGGGAGGCAGCAGUAGGGAAUUUUCGUCAAUGGGCGCAAGCCUGAACGAGCAAUGCCGCGUGAACGAGGAAGGUCUUCGGAUCGUAAAGUUCUGUUGAAGGGGAAAAAGAGCGGAGAGAGGAAAUGAACUCCGAUUGAUAUUACCCUUCGGGGAAGUCACGGCUAACUACGUGCCAGCAGCCGCGGUAAUACGUAGGUGGCGAGCGUUAUCCGGAAUGAUUGGGCGUAAAGGGUGCGUAGGCGGCCUGCCAAGUCUGGAGUGAAAGGUACCGGCUCAACCGGUACAGGCUCUGGAAACUG